Molecule: ribosomal RNA, 730 nt
Filed under: archaeon enrichment culture clone A21D26
Lineage: Archaea
Description: bacterial SSU rRNA
Rfam family: Archaeal small subunit ribosomal RNA
Source: RNAcentral
GGUUACUGCUAUCGAGGUUCGACUAAGCCAUGCGAGUCGAAUGUAGCAAUACAUGGCGAACUGCUCAGUAACACGUGGACAACCUGCCCUUAGGUUGGGUAUAAACCCGGGAAACUGGGUAUAAUACCCGAUAGGUCUCGAUUGCUGGAAUGCAUCGAGAUUUAAAGCUCCGGCGCCUAAGGAUGGGUCUGCGGCCUAUCAGGUAGUAGUGGGUGUAGCGUACCUACUAGCCUACGACGGGUACGGGUUGUGAGAGCAAGAGCCCGGAGAUGGAUUCUGAGACACGAAUCCAGGCCCUACGGGGUGCAGCAGGCGCGAAAACUUUACAAUGCUGGCAACAGCGAUAAGGGAACCUCGAGUGCCAGGUUACAAAUCUGGCUGUCGAGAUGCCUAAAAAGCAUUUCAUAGCAAGGGCCGGGCAAGACCGGUGCCAGCCGCCGCGGUAACACCGGCGGCUCGAGUGGUAACCGUUAUUAUUGGGUCUAAAGGGUCUGUAGCCGGCCGGAUAAGUCUCUUGAGAAAUCUGGCAGCUUAACUGUCAGGCUUUCAGGAGAUACUGUCUGGCUCGAGGCCGGGAGAGGUGAGAGGUACUUCAGGGGUAGGGGUGAAAUCUUGUAAUCCUUGAAGGACCACCAGUGGCGAAGGCGUCUCACCAGAACGGACCUGACGGCAAGGGACGAAAGCUAGGGGCACGAACCGGAUUAGAUACCCGGGUAGUCCUAGCCGUAAA